CGCGGCCAUGAUGACGGAGAGCUGCUCGUGGAGAGCUUUGCUGCUUAAACCGGACAUCCCGACGAACCAACGGAACCCGAACCGGAACCGGACCACACGGAGCCGCAAGGUUUACCUGAGGGUGGCUCACCUGUUGAGCGUCCACCCUACCAUCAUGCUGAGCUCACCUGAGGCAAGAUGUGAGCGUGGGUUGAUGAUUCAGCUGUACAGCUGCAUUUAAAGGAGGAAGGCCCCUCUUUGGAGGAAGCCAGCGUUCACAUUUUGCAGUUUGAGAGAGGAGUGAAGGAGGUCAAGUGUCCACUGUGAUCCACCAUCACUGAACAGGAAUGGUCGCUUAGGACAUCGGCUCUCAGGACACGACAAACAUUUCCUCAGGUGACCUCAACAGCUCACGACUCCGAGUCCAUUUGGGUUGACCCUAUCCUCAGUGGCUGAGAACCUACACAGACGUAUUUAUAUUGUUUAUCAUUUUGUUAUUUUUCACUUGUGUAAAUAUGAGAAAGAAUAGAAGCCAAUUAAGAUUCAAGUAAAUGCAAUAUAAAUAGAACAGGCGUGGGACUGUAAAUAUGUGAACAAGAACAUAAACAAACUGAUAUUCUGUUUGCUGUUCAGAUCCUUGAAGCAUUUGUAAAACUAAUGAUAUUUUUGCUGAACUGCUUUGAGGCGUGUGUGUGUGUGUGUCUGUGUGUGUGUGUCACUGUGUGAAUAAUUUAAAGACAGAUUCUGGUUGUUUUUAUUAGAAACUGCAGGCUGAGCCGUGGAGCUGUCAGUUUGAACGGAGAGCACGGUUCAGACUCCAAACACACAACAAAGAGAAAACGCUGCCUGAGGAAACGCUCUGAUUGGCUGCCAGGUGUCACCUCAGAAAGCAGAACUCCAGGACUCGCCUCCGCUGUCACCUCCAGCACCGCGACACGUCCACAUCGUCUGAGGUUUGACGCCUUCGGCUGCUUGGUGCUGACUCCAGCA
Pelmatolapia mariae (spotted tilapia) is the source of this 969-nucleotide long non-coding RNA. RefSeq lists it as uncharacterized. Lineage: Eukaryota; Metazoa; Chordata; Actinopteri; Cichliformes; Cichlidae. The record is from RefSeq and is a predicted model, not a curated record. The transcript is spliced from 3 exons.